This 460-nucleotide ribosomal RNA is filed under the name uncultured bacterium. RNAcentral describes it as "partial 16S ribosomal RNA". It matches the Rfam family "Bacterial small subunit ribosomal RNA", at positions 338 to 795 of the family's 1533-position model. The record is from RNAcentral.
CCUACGGGUGGCUGCAGUGAGGAAUAUUGGUCAAUGGUCGCGAGACUGAACCAGCCAAGUAGCGUGAAGGAUGACGGCCCUGCGGAUUGUAAACUUCUUUUAUCAGGGAAUAAAGUGUGGCACGUGUGCCUUUUUGUGUGUACUUUAUGAAUAAGGAUCGGCUAACUCCGUGCCAGCAGCCGCGGUAAUACGGAGGAUCCGAGCGUUAUCCGGAUUUAUUGGGUUUAAAGGGAGCGUAGAUGGGUUGUUAAGUCAGGUGUGAAAGUUUGCGGCUCAACCGUAAAAGUGCAAUUGAUACUGGCAGCCUUGAGUACAGUUGAGGUAGGUGGAAUUCGUGGUGUAGCGGUGAAAUGCUUAGAUAGCACGAAGAACUCCGAUUGCGAAGGCAGCCUACUAAAUCGCCACUGACAUUGAUGCACGAAAGUGUGGGUAUCAAACAGGAUUAGAUACCCCGGUAGUC